Molecule: long non-coding RNA, 641 nt
Organism: Hibiscus syriacus
Lineage: Eukaryota; Viridiplantae; Streptophyta; Magnoliopsida; Malvales; Malvaceae
Exons: 2
Source: RefSeq, a predicted model, not a curated record
CAAAAUGGGGUGGUGAAGCGUAAAAAUCGUCAUGUUGUGGAAAUUGCUAGAUCUCUUUCACUGGAGUCUCAUGUUCCAUCUCAAUUUCGGGUAGAGGAUAUCCAUAUUGUUGUUCAUCUUAUAAACAGACAUACUACUCCUAUAUUUGGUUGUUAGUCAAUUUGUUUCUCAGCCUCGACUUUCUCAUCUUUUAGCACUUCAUUGAAUCAUUCGCUAUCUUAAGGGCACUUGUGAACGUGGUCUUUUCUUUCCUUCCAACACACCUCUUACUCUAGAAGCAUAUUCCGAUGCUGACUGUGCCAGGUGUGUUGACACUUGCUGUUCCACGACAGGUUGGUGUAUUUUCUUAAGUGCUUCCCCCAUUUCAUGGAAGUGUAAGAAGCGAGACAAGGUAUUCAAAUCUUCUACUGAAGCUGAGUAUCGAUUCAUGUGUUCUGUUAGUUCUGAACUUGAAUGGCUUCGAAGACUUUUCCUUGACUUUGGUGUUAGUGGUGAUCAUACAUCUAUUCCUCUAUUUGUGAUAAUACUAGCACUAUCAGCAUUGCAACCAAUCCAGUUCAUCAUGAGCGGAUGAAACACAUUAAAGUUGAUUGUCAUUACAUCCGUUAAUUGGUUGAAGAAAAAGUUUUAUGCCUUGUUCA